Molecule: long non-coding RNA, 90 nt
Organism: Sinocyclocheilus grahami
Lineage: Eukaryota; Metazoa; Chordata; Actinopteri; Cypriniformes; Cyprinidae
Exons: 3
Source: RefSeq, a predicted model, not a curated record
GUCAGUUUCCUCUUUGCUCAGCAAUGUAUUUUUCACUGCAUGUGAACAUGAUGUGUAAUGUGAGAGCGGCAUUGUUUGCAUCCGUAAGGG